Momordica charantia (bitter melon) is the source of this 3473-nucleotide non-coding RNA. NCBI's taxonomy places the organism in Eukaryota, Viridiplantae, Streptophyta, Magnoliopsida, Cucurbitales, Cucurbitaceae. The record is from RefSeq and is a predicted model, not a curated record.
CUGCAGGCUGAGGAAAUAUUUUCACUAGGUACCAUCUGAAUUUGGGAUUUAUUUUUCCUAUUUUUCCUCGUUUGAAGCUGGGUGGCAAAGAGGUUUCAUCAAGAAAAUUGUUAUCCAGAUUCUUCAAUGGCUUUUGGCGAGUCACGUCUCAGAAAAGCGAUUUGCUGGCUCUAAUUUUUGGUGAUUUCUUGAUGGUCUGUCCGAGAAUAUUGGUGAAUUUACAUUGGAGACAGAUCCCAUUGAGAUCAUUGUGCUUGCACUUCCAAAAAGGUAGAAGGAUAGUAAAGUUAUUGUCAUUAGCAGAGUUUCCAUAGAGGGGAUGGAUUGCAAUAAGGAUGAUGCCUUUAAGGCCAAGCUGGUUGCUGAGAAAAAGUUCGCAGAGAUGGACAUUGCCGCUGCAAGUAAAUUUGCUUUGAAGGCCCAUAAAUUGUAUCCUAGUCUUGAUGGUCUUCCCCAAUUUAUGGCAACUCUUAAUGUUUACCUGUCUGCUGAGAAAAGAAUUGAUGGGUGCAUUGAUUGGUACAGGGUCCUUGGCGUGGAUCCAUUGGCUGAUGAAGAAACCAUUAGGAAACAUUAUAGAAAACUAGCACUCAUUCUUCAUCCUGACAAAAACAAAUCAAUAGGUGCAGAUGGGGCUUUUAAAAUUGUAUCUGAAGCUUGGAGCUUGUUGUCUGACAAAAUGAAAAGGGCAGCAUUUGACCAAAAACGGAACAUAAGAGGUAUGUAUAUGAAGUCUACUGAAAUAAGGUCAUCAGUUCCAAUUGUUCGGAACGGUUUCCAUAAUCUUUCCCCCAAUAAUAAUUUGAAUAGAUGGCAUUGGAGAAGUGACGAUGAAGUCCUUUCCGCUCCGACUCCUCAUCCAGUGAAACCCACGUUUUGGACAAUCUGUCAUUCAUGCAAUGUGCAUUUUGAGUAUCUCAGAACUUAUCUUAAUCACAAUCUUAUUUGUCCCAACUGCCGCAUAUCCUUUUUGGCUGUUGAAAACCCACCCCCACCUUUCAAUGUGAAUCCGUCAGCCUCCCCAUGGACUUUCAAAAUGCAGCAACAGGCUUCCAGCGCAUGUAACCAUAUCAAGAAGUCAUUAAAUGGGGAGAAGACACAGAUUUCUGCUAGAGGUGACGCAGUGGGAUAUAGUAGUAUUGAAUCUCUGCGUAAAUCUUUUCAGUUUGGUACAUCAUUUAAAUUGGGAGCGACUGAAAGUAUGCAAGCAUCAGACUCUUCAGCAGCUAAAGCUUUUAGUUUCUUCAAGGCAGCAACUUCAAAGAUGAAAAUUGGGCAGAAUGAUGACUUAUCGGCUGCUAUGAAAGAAGAUAAUGCUCCCAAUAAGAUGGAUGCUGGUUUUGCCUCAACAUCCUUCAAUGACAGUGUCUGUUCUGUACACAAAGGAGAUAGACCAAAGAAAAAAAGACGCAUAACUGGACAUAAAAUGCAGUGUAGUAAUAUCAGAGCCUUUUUGAAACCAGCGGAAAUGGAAAACACAGGGAUUAUGAAGGAGAGUAGUGGGUCUCAAAAGUAUAGAUUUGAAGGAAGAAGGAUGAGCAUCACUGGAAAAUUUGGAUCUGCUAGUACAAAGGAGCUUUCCCAGCUAGAAUUGCGAAAAAUGUUGAUGGGGAAGGCUAGGAAUGAGAUCCGCAAGAAGCUCAGUGAAUGGGAAGCAGCUGCAUCAUCAACCAUUUUGCAAAGGAUGAAGACUUCUAGCAAGGAUCUCGUAGAGGAGAAAGAAGGGAAAAGAGUUGUUCUAAAUGGUAUGAAUUCCAGUAAAUAUUUUGAUACUGCGUGUAGUACAGAUGAAUUGCAAACCAAACAUCCUUUACCUCCAAGUUCUGGUGGGGAUCCAGAUGGCAAAGAUUCUGAACCUUUUUCCAUGAGCGUUACUGAUCCAGAUUUUCAUGAUUUUGACAAGGAUCGUGCGGAAAAAUCAUUUGGUAGUAAUCAGGUUUGGGCUGUUUACGAUGAUGAUGACGGUAUGCCCCGAUAUUAUGCCAUGGUUCAUAAAGUUAUAUCAUUGAAACCAUUCAAAAUGCGCAUCAGUUGGCUUAAUUCUAAAAGUAACAUUGAACUAGCCCCAUUGAACUGGAUUGGUUGUGGAUUUCCUAAGACAAGUGGUGAUUUCUGGAUCGGAAAGCAUGAAGUUAAUGGCUUUCUUAAUUCGUUCUCACACAAGGUUAAACAGAUAAAAGGCAAGAGAGGAGCCAUUAGAAUCUUUCCUAGUAAGGGAGAUGUGUGGGCUCUAUAUAGGAACUGGUCUCCUAAUUGGAACGAGCUUACCCCGGAUGAUGUCAUUCACAAAUAUGACAUGGUGGAAGUUCUUGAAGAUUACAAUGAAGAGAGAGGCGUUACUGUUAUUCCAUUAGUUAAAGUUGUUGGUUUCAAGACUGUGUUUCAGCAGCACCCAAAUCCAUCAAAGAUCAGGAAUAUUCCGAGAGAGGAAAUGUUUCGAUUUUCUCACCAGGUUCCUUCAUGCUUGCUUACAGGUCUUGAAGGUCAAAAUGCUCCUGCUGGUUGCUGGGAGCUUGAUCCUGCAGCAACACCUUUGGAACUUCUACAAGUUGCCAAGGAAACUGAAAUGGAACUGGAAGAAGUCGUUCAGAACCUUGAACAAGCUAAGGACGGAAAUCCAUGUGAGGAUAUAAAAACUUAUAAAGAAGCAGAAGAUCUUGCUGAGAAUGUAGCAACAACUAUUGAAGCAAACUGUCAUAAGGUUCAGGAUAGACUAAAAGUGGAAGAAGAUUUGAUAAUGCAUAAUGGAAAGAAGACGACAGUUCAAAAGAUGAUUGUGUAUAGGCGGAAGCGGUUCCGGGGCAAAUUGCUAAUUAGUGCCGAGUUAUCAGCACAUUAGACAACGUUUGAGAAAUUGUUCUCAGAUGAACAUACGAUAGACAUGAGGAUGGCUGCAACCAUACACAGUACAGAUUCUAAGCAUCAAUCCAGCCUAAUCGUAAUUUUGAUUUUUUUUGUUCACUUUUUCGUCUUCUCAGCCGUGAGAGAUGAAUUGGUGAUACAUGUGGAGAAGUAUUUCUUUUGUCUAGUUUUUUACUCGCUCUACAUUUAUUUGGGCUACAAUUUUGUCUAGUUUAUGAUGCCCUCAAUACUAAUAUCAAUUUUCUGGUAGGUUGGAUAGUGUUGGAAAAGGCAGUUUCCUUGGAUUGAUAUGCUGUAAGACACUGUAGCUCCAGAUUGAUAGGCUAAUUUUACUCUUUGCUCAAAGAGAUGGAAAUGGAGGGCACAUAUUGUAAGCUUCUGUGGUCUGCUUUCUAAAGAAUCAACGACUCGACAGGAGACGAAAGGAAAGGAAAAGUGGGCAUGUGGUUAAAGAAAAAAGGCCUUGUCUGCCGCAAUGCAAUGCCGAACAACUUUAGGUUAUUGGCCAAGUGGGACAGCUUGAGAUUGUUGGACCCCUUUUUUUUGUUCCAACAGAAACUUCUUCAGCUUUGGGGGCUGCAGAUUUUUUGUUCUUUUGAAACUGUUUAUGU